UACCCACACAGGCUUCACAGCAGGAGGCAACCAUGUUUAUCGAUGUCGUAGUUCUCGCCGGUAUCGGCACCGUCGGUCUGAUGGUCGCCUUCUUCGCCGGUGUCGGUUAUUUCAUCUGGCAGGAUUCGCACAAGCGCAAGCAGGGCUGAUUCUGCUGUCAGGGGCACGCAAGGCAAUUUGGGCGACUUCGGUCGCCCUUUUUUAUG
This 206-nucleotide small RNA is filed under the name Pseudomonas sp. 9AZ. RNAcentral describes it as "PhrS". It matches the Rfam family "PhrS". The record is from RNAcentral. Lineage: Bacteria; Pseudomonadati; Pseudomonadota; Gammaproteobacteria; Pseudomonadales; Pseudomonadaceae.